AAAUUUUCGGCGAUGGAUAUCUUGGUUCCCGGAACGAUGAAGAACGCAGCGAAGUGCGAUAAGCAAUGCGAAUUGCAGAACCGUGAGUCAUUAGAGUUUUGAACGCAACUGGCACCGGCGGGACAUCCUGCCGGUAUGCUUUUUUCAGUGUCUAAUUAAUUCAUGCACCUCGGUGCAAU
RNAcentral lists this ribosomal RNA (179 nucleotides) under Pseudoamphisiella quadrinucleata. Its description in RNAcentral is "5.8S ribosomal RNA". The stretch from base 2 to 153 matches the Rfam family "5.8S ribosomal RNA". Rfam says of the family: 5.8S ribosomal RNA (5.8S rRNA) is a component of the large subunit of the eukaryotic ribosome. The record is from RNAcentral. Lineage: Eukaryota; Ciliophora; Spirotrichea; Pseudoamphisiellida.